RNAcentral lists this small RNA (161 nucleotides) under Mytilus galloprovincialis (Mediterranean mussel). Lineage: Eukaryota; Metazoa; Mollusca; Bivalvia; Mytilida; Mytilidae. The record is from RNAcentral.
AUAGAUUCUUACAUUGAUACCAGUGGAUUAUCGGAUUUAUCCAAUCAAGAUAGUUAAAUUAUCAAUUUUAAAGUCAGAGCCUCGGCGAGGACUUUAAGAUUUAUAAUUUAACUAUUGAGAUUGGAUAAAUCUGAUAAUCCAUGAGUAACAAUGCAAGAAUC